ACGCGCGGAACCUUACCAGCCCUUGACAUGGCAGGACGGCUUCCGGAGACGGAUUCCUUCCCUUCGGGGACCUGCACACAGGUGCUGCAUGGCUGUCGUCAGCUCGUGUCGUGAGAUGUUGGGUUAAGUCCCGCAACGAGCGCAACCCUCGCCCCUAGUUGCCAUCAUUCAGUUGGGCACUCUAGGGGACUGCCGGUGAUAAGCCGAGAGGAAGGUGGGGAUGACGUCAAGUCCUCAUGGCCCUUACGGG
RNAcentral lists this ribosomal RNA (250 nucleotides) under uncultured bacterium. Its description in RNAcentral is "partial 16S ribosomal RNA". It matches the Rfam family "Bacterial small subunit ribosomal RNA", at positions 959 to 1208 of the family's 1533-position model. The record is from RNAcentral.